RNAcentral lists this ribosomal RNA (1615 nucleotides) under human gut metagenome. Its description in RNAcentral is "bacterial LSU rRNA". It matches the Rfam family "Bacterial large subunit ribosomal RNA", at positions 621 to 2221 of the family's 2925-position model. The record is from RNAcentral.
CAGCGAGUUACGAGGACCGGCAAGGUUAAGCAGGAAAUGCGGAGCCGAAGCGAAAGCGAGUCUUAAUAGGGCGAGAGUCGGAAUGCGUAGACCCGAAACCACAGUGAUCUACCCAUGUCCAGGCUGAAACACAGGUAAAAAUGUGCGGAGGGCCGAACCUAUAUCUGUUGAAAAAGGUUAGGAUGAGGUGUGGGUAGGGGUGAAAUUCCAAUCGAACGUGGAGAUAGCUGGUUCUCCCCGAAAUAGCUUUAGGGCUAGCCUCAGGUGGUGAUUACAGGCGGUAGAGCACUGAUCAGGAGAGGGACCUACCCGGUUACCAAACCCAGUCAAACUCCGAAUGGCUGUAAUCAAACCUGGGAGUCAGACUACGACUUAUAAGGGCCGUGGUCAAGAGGGAAACAGCCCAGAUCAUCAGCUAAGGUCCCAAAUGCCGUGCUAAGUGGCGAAGGAUGUGGCGUUUCAUAAACAACCAGGAUGUUGGCUCAGAAGCAGCCACCAUUCAAAGAGUGCGUAAUAGCUCACUGGUCGAGAGACGCUGCGCCGAAGAUGUCCGGGGCUCAAGCACGGAACCGAAGCUAUGGCAGAUUGCUUGCAAUCUGGGUAGGGGAGCGUUCUUAUCACGGAGAAGCGGUACCGUAAGGAGCCGUGGAGAGGUAAGAAGUGAGAAUGCUGGUAUGAGUAUCGAAAAGGCUGGUGAGAAUCCAGCCCACCGAAAGCCCGAGGGUUCCUGAGCAACGAUCGUCGUCUCAGGGUAAGUCGGGACCUAAGCCGAGGCAAAGACGCAUAGGCGAUGGAGAACAGGUUGAAAUUCCUGUACCGGAGCAGUCCGUCUGAGUGAAGGAGUGACGCAGCAGGGCACACGAGCAUGCGGUUGGAAGAGCAUGUCUAAGCCCGUAGCCCGUAUGGCAGGGAAAUCCGCCAUGCAGAAGGGUGAGAGGUGAUGGGGAGUUAAAGGCAACUUUGACGAACUCGUGAAUCCCACACUGCCAAGAAAAGCUUCUAGCGAGGACUGAUCCGCCCGUACCGUAAACCGACACAGGUAGGCGGGGAGAGAAUCCUAAGGUGCGCGGGAAAACCCUCGUUAAGGAACUCGGCAAAUUGCAUCCGUAACCUAGGGAGAAGGAUGGCCCCCGGUCAGUGAAGAGCAGAAACGCUCAGAGCUAAAAGGGGCGGCAGAAAAGAGGCCCAAGCAACUGUUUACCAAAAACACAGGUGCCUGCGAAAGCGAAAGCUGACGUAUAGGUGCUGACGCCUGCCCGGUGCUGGAAGGUUAAGGAGAGAGGUUAGCGCAAGCGAAGCUUUGAACUGAAGCCCCAGUGAACGGCGGCCGUAACUAUAACGGUCCUAAGGUAGCGAAAUUCCUUGUCGGGUAAGUUCCGACCCGCAUGAAAGGCGUAAUGAUUUGGGCACUGUCUCAACGAGGGGCCCGGUGAAAUUGAAAUACCUGUGAAGAUGCAGGUUACCCGCGACUGGACAGAAAGACCCCAUGGAGCUUUACUGCAGCUUGAGACGGAAUCUCGGAAGUAGACGCACAGGAUAGGUGGGAGGCUACGAAACAUACACUUAGUUGGAUGUGGAGCCGCUGUUGGGAUACCACCCUUCUAGUUCUGGGAUU